This is a non-coding RNA of Vicia faba (fava bean), 192 nucleotides long. The record is from the annotation of a GenBank genome assembly. NCBI's taxonomy places the organism in Eukaryota, Viridiplantae, Streptophyta, Magnoliopsida, Fabales, Fabaceae.
AUGCUUCAAUCACCAUUUUCCAUACUCCAAGCUGCUAUCCAAAUGACCAAGAAACCUUAUCUGCCCAAGUUCCAACCCAAACAGAGUUGCAGCCAUGCAAAUGGAAUUCAUUCCACAAUUAUAAACUCAGCACUAUUAAAGGGUAAUUUAUUAUUUGCCUUUUAUUGGAUAUUCUCUUUAGGCCCUAUGUGA